UACAGAGGUCUCAACCGUUGUUCGGAUUCAUUGGGCGUAAAGGGUGCGUAGGCGGUCGCGCAAGUCGGAUGUGAAAUCUUAGGGCUCAACCCUGAAACUGCAUUCGAUACUGCGUGGCUCGAGUACUGGAGAGGAGACUGGAAUUUACGGUGUAGCAGUGAAAUGCGUAGAUAUUCGCAAGAACACCAGUGGCGAAGGCGGCUCACUGGCCCGGUACUGACGCUGAGGUGCGAAAGCGUGGGGAGCAAACAGG
RNAcentral lists this ribosomal RNA (253 nucleotides) under uncultured bacterium. Its description in RNAcentral is "partial 16S ribosomal RNA". It matches the Rfam family "Bacterial small subunit ribosomal RNA", at positions 524 to 776 of the family's 1533-position model. The record is from RNAcentral.